Molecule: unclassified non-coding RNA, 2766 nt
Filed under: Hevea brasiliensis (rubber tree)
Lineage: Eukaryota; Viridiplantae; Streptophyta; Magnoliopsida; Malpighiales; Euphorbiaceae
Source: RNAcentral
CAGACAUUAGACAUCACCGAAUUCAACUGUCCCCUCCUAAAACCCUAGUAAUCGAGUGUCGACUCCAGUCUCCAGUCAUCUCCUUCCCAUUUUUCUCUGUUAAAACUUAAAACCCUAGCAUAAACCAGCGACAUUCUCUCUUUCUUCCCCUCUAUCUAGUUUCCUCUCCAGGCAUCUUCUCUUCCAGGAAGAAUCAAAUAUGGUGAAAAAGAGCAAAAAAAGUAAAAGUAAGAGAAUUCCAUUGAGGCAGAAGUAUAAGGUUUUAAGGAAGGUCAGGCAGCAUCACAAAAAGAAGGCCAAGGAGGCGAAGAAGCUUGGAUUGAAUAAAAAACGCAAGGUCGAGAAGGAUCCUGGUAUUCCUAAUGAUUGGCCAUUCAAGGAACAGGAGCUCAAGGCUCUUGAAGCCCGUCGGGCUCGUGCUCUUGAGGAAUUGGAGCAAAAGAAAGCUGCUCGCAAGGAGAGGGCUCAAAAGAGGAAGUUGGGGUUACUCGAGGAUGAUGAUAUCUCUAAGUUUGCUGAUUUAGCUUCAGCAAAAGAACAAAAUUUUGAAGAGCGAAAUAGCAAUGAUGAUGUUGGUGGAAUUGCCAGAAAUCGUGACAAUUCAGAUAGGGUAUUCUAUAAGGAGUUGGUGAAAGUUAUUGAAGAAUCAGAUGUCAUAUUGGAAGUCCUUGACGCCCGAGAUCCCCUUGGUACCCGUUGUGUUGAUAUGGAAAAGAUGGUGAUGAAAUCAGGUCAUGACAAGCGUCUAGUGCUGCUCCUAAAUAAAAUUGAUCUUGUCCCUCGAGAAGCUGUUGAAAAAUGGCUUAAGUAUCUUAGAGAAGAAUUGCCUGCAGUUGCCUUCAAGUGUAGUACCCAAGAGCAGAGAUCAAACCUAGGGUGGAAAUCUUCCUCAAAAACAGCAAAGACCAGCAAUCUUCUGCAAACAAGUGAUUGUCUUGGAGCUGAAACCCUUAUCAAAUUGCUGAAAAAUUACUCAAGAAGUCAUGAUAUCAAAAAAUCUAUUACAGUUGGUGUCAUUGGACUGCCUAAUGUUGGUAAGAGUAGUCUAAUUAACAGCUUAAAGAGAUGUCAUGUUGUCAAUGUUGGUGCUACUCCUGGGCUAACAAGAUCAAUGCAAGAAGUUCAGCUAGACAAGAAUGUUAAAUUACUGGAUUGUCCUGGUGUUGUAUUGCUCAAGUCUGGGGAGAAUGAUGCAUCUAUAGCUCUUCGCAAUUGCAAAAGGAUUGAAAAGCUAGAUGAUCCAAUUAACCCAGUGAAAGAAAUUCUCAAGCUUUGCCCGGCCAGACUGUUGGUAACCCUAUACAAGAUACCAAACUUUGAAUCAGUUGAUGACUUUCUGCAAAAGGUGGCUACUGUCAGGGGUAGGCUGAAAAAGGGUGGUAUUGUGGAUGUUGAAGCUGCUGCUAGAGUUGUUCUGCAUGACUGGAAUGAGGGUAUGCUUUCUAGGUACUUUAAUGCUUAAAUACAGACAAAUACAAGAAAGACGCGAAUGACAAUUUAUAGAAGAGAAAUUCAGUUCUGAUUUAAAAGGACGUUACUUAUUUGACAUAUUUUAGGUAAAAUCCCAUAUUACACGAUGCCUCCUACUAGGAAUCAAGAUGAACCUUCUGAGGCUAAGAUUGUUUCAGAGCUUGGAAAGGAAUUUAAUGUUGAUGAAGUUUACAGUGGUGAAUCCUCGUUCAUUGGAAGCCUCAAGUCGGUUAAUGACUUCCAUCCUGUUGAAGUUCCUCCUAGUUGCCCUAUCAAUAUCGAUGAAAGUAUGCUAGAGGGAGAUAUGGAAACCCAGCCAUCAACUCAAGGUGAUGAAACUUCCGUAGAUACGAAAGACGAUGCCGAAGACCAGUAUAUGGGUUCUGAAGAAGAUGCAAACAAGAGCAAGGCAAAAGCAACAACUAGCAAACAAAAUGAGAAGCUAUAUGCAGUAGAAGGUAUACUAAAUACAAAAAUGAAACGAGCAGAGAAGAAAAGGAGGAAAAAAGCAGCGAAAGUGGAUGCAAUGGAUGAUGACUAUGACUUUAAAGUGGAUUAUAUCAAGAAAAAGGGUUCUGCCAUGGAUGUGGAAGAAGAGAGUGGUAAAAAGGACGAUGAUAAUCAAAUUAUUGGCAAGGUGCUAAUGUCUGGUGUUGAGUUUGAUGAUGAGUGAUGGAAUACAUAGCCCAUAAGGGGCUUUCAUUUUAUCAGGUGUUACCUUUUUGUCAAUUGUUUAGUUUUAUGGUCAUUCUUUUAAGUGCGCAAUAAUCACAUCCAAAUAUGAACUCUGCUUGAUGCAAGGAAAUUUUGUUAAGAGCAAAGAGCUAUUUAUUUUUAUCAAUACUAAUCUCUGAUGUCUCUUAUCUCUAUAACCCAAAAGAAUAGUACAUCCAGCCCUGUGUGUAGAUUGUAGAAUAUAAAUUUCACAAAUUUGAAGAAUAUCUUGAGUUUGUAAAAUAUUUAUUCCAAGAACAAUUAUUUUACAUUGAAAAAUUAACAAGAAGCUAAAAUUACCAAUUCCGCAAGGUACUCCUCUAUUUCCUCCAAUUGCAUAUUAUUUUGUAAACCAACUGAAAAGAUUUCACAUCCAACAAGCAAGCGAGCUGACAUUUUUCCCUCGAUUAACGCAUUUUGGCAUCAAUUGAAGUUUAACAGCCUCCAACUUUCAGAUGCCAUAAUAUUAGUAAGGGUAAUGAGAAAAAAGGAUAGGAUAUGUAGAAUAUGAAGAUACAAGUUCAGUCAUCAUCUGACACCCCAAAUACAGGGCCCUCUGCAGCAGGAUCUAGACCCGUCUCA